RNAcentral lists this long non-coding RNA (1409 nucleotides) under Homo sapiens (human). Its description in RNAcentral is "HSALNT0109427". The record is from RNAcentral. Lineage: Eukaryota; Metazoa; Chordata; Mammalia; Primates; Hominidae.
CGCCGGUGGCCUAGCACUGCUGGGGGACCCAGUACACCCUCCGCAGCCGCUGGCCCGGGUGCUAGGCCCCUCACUGCCUGGGCCGGCCGGCCGCUCCGAGUGCAGGGCCCGCCAAGCCCACGCCCACCCGGAACUCCAGCUAGCCCGCAAGCGCUGCGCGCAGCCCCGGUUCCCGCUGGCGCCUCUCCCUCCACACCUCCCUGCAAGCUGAGGGAGCCGGCUCUGGCCUUGGCCAGCCCAGAAAGGGGCUCUCACAGUGCAGCAGCGGGCCGAAGGGCUCCUCAAGUGCCGCCAAAGUGGGAACCCAGGCAGAGGAGGCGCCGAGAGCAAGCGAGGGCUCUGAGGACUGCCAGCACGCUGUCACCUCUCACCAUGAAAGGGUGCUUCUUGCUUGAAACAAGAGGAUCUUGUGGCUUGAUAAAAUGUUUGGAAUACCCAAGGAGGGCCUCCUUUUGAAGGCUUAUGCAGUGCAGCCUCUCUCAAGAUCUCAGUUUACUCAGAGAAGAAAGGUGAACUGCAUUUGUUCCAAGUAAAAUAUACAUCUGUAUUAUUCACCAUCACACCCCUAUUCCAUUACAAACAAAUACUGACCUUGUUCUUCUGAUGUGAAGCCAGAGGGAGUGUGAAAUAUAGCAAGGAGAACAGUCUGAUGCAGAAAUAUGAAAGUUCCAAGCAACAGAAACGCGGUAUUUAAAAGGAGUAGAGAAGGGCCCCAACUUGGUCUUUCUAAUUCCUUCUCUGCAGCUGACCCUGGGGAAAGUAACUCAAUAGUUAUCAGUCGCUUUGGGGAAACUGCCUACAUUAGUUCAGAUUGCCAGUUGGAUUUUUUCACUCUAGGAUCUAUGUGUUGGUAGUCUCUCUGUUUUUUCUUUUGGCCUUAAGAACUUCUCUUGAGAACGCUCUGUGUGUGUGUGUGUGUGUGUGUGUGUGUGUGUACAUGAACUUUUGACCUAAGUACUAGAAACCAGUUUCCAUUUGGAUGCCAAGCACGUUUCCUCCUUUUAGCAGGGCUGGGAGCUACCGCUUUGUGAUUUCUCUCAUCACGAUGUUCUAGGAAAAGGCUUUUGAAUGGUGGAGAAACUCAGCUAACAUUACAUUAGAAGAAAGACGGGGAACACAGUUUGGGAGAAUAUGUACAAGAUAUGAGAUUUUGAUGUUCAAUGAAAACCAUACCCAAUGUUUUCUCUUGUAAAGUGGGGUAAGAUGAGGAUUAAAUGAGAUAAUAUAGUUGUUUCUCCUACAGUGCCAUAUACAUCUUUCUAAAAAAUAAAUGUAAUGUAGAAUUUCAUGCAAUAAAAAUGAUGAGCCUUCUGGGAAAAAUUUAAUUGGGUGAAACACAACACCUGUAUAGUCUAGUAAGGAAUACUCUUCUAAAACCCUAAUAAAAGCUUUAAAAAUCUCAAGUCCCU